AUGACAUGUAUUUAGAAGGCCUAUAUAUUACAUCUUCAUCAUAUAACCAACAGUAUGUAUAUAUAGUUUUAAUUCAAAGGUAUACAUGGCUCUUAGACGCUUUACCGAAUAUCCUUAAAAUUUACGGACGUUAAACUACACCAGUAACGCUAUGAACAGUAUAACACGCAGCUCGACCCUGUAUUCUCUCCCUUACGAUGCAGGACGCAGUAUAUAGAUGUGUAUUUCAAAAGGUACAUCGUUUUUUAUAUAUUAGACCGAUUUAUCUUAACCUACGGACGUUAAACUACAUCAACGUAACUGUGAUCGCUUUGAUGGAUAGUUCGACCCUGGUUCCUCUUCUUUGUGUGGAAUUGACGCAGGGAAUAGGGGAUGCGAUUGUUUUUAUUUGGGAUUGUGUUACCUGGCUGCCUGUAGGGUUCGUUAGCCCCCAAACACCUGUCCAGUCUGUAUUUGUAUAUAUUUGGCUUUUUUUUUUUUCUUCUCUUUUUCUCACGUAUCGUUCAUCGUAAGACGUAAGCAAUAUUAUAACAACCAGCAAAACAUUGGUACUUUGAACACUUUUUUGUCACUCUCUGUAUGUGUUUCUGUUUUAAAGUUUUCUUCUAAUUUUUCGUUUAUCUGCUUUUAUGUUCGUUCUCUUUAAUUUUCUGCUUUCUAUUUCUUUUUCAUGAUUUUUAUUUAUUCUUGCCCUUUUUUCUUAGCUGCUCUUCUUUCUUUCCAUUAUUUUUUGUUUAUUGUACUUCUAUUUCAUUUCUUGCUUUCUUUUCUAUGCCGUUUUUCUUCUAUAUAACAUUACUCUUCUGCUGAUUUUCUUUAUUUAAUUCCUGUUUUCAUUUUCUUUUUUCAUUCUUUUCUUCUUUUUUCUUGCUUUGUUUCUUAACUACUCUGCGUUCUUCUCAUUAAGCAUUUGCCUAUUUUCAUUCAAUUUUAUUUCUUGCUCGAUAUUUUACAUUUUUUUUCUUAUAUGCAUCACGUACCUUAAACACAAAAGAAAUGUUCAUAAGUGUUCAGAUGAGUCAUUAUUUUAACUCUCAUAAGCUCACCAACCCGACACUUUUAUAUUUCCGCCAAGAUUUCCUUCUUAGUUUCAUCACGUUGUCGGCAUCACAAAGGAUAAAGGUUCUUACCCGCUCACUUGAGUCACCACUUUAGUUAGCAUUCAAUAACCCACCAAUCCAUCACUUCCUCUUUCAUAACUGUACCUCGUUGUCAUUCUCUACUCGUUCAUUCUUAUCUCUUUUAUCUUUUCUCACAUUUUUUCCUCCACGAGUUUCCAUAUUCGGUAAUGAUUGUGUGGCGCCUCGUUGGACUUUUCAUAGCAACACCAUCACGUCACCGUCAGCUUUGGAAUCGAACCCUUAUCUUCCUCACACCUUAAACACUGUGCUAGAUUACCCGGAUGCGUAUUCCCGUUCUCUCUACUGGUAUAUGUCGCCUACUCUUGAACGGUGCAGGCUUCGUUAGGUUAUGUUAGGUUAGGUUAGGUUUGGUAUGUGGCGCCGACUCUUGAACGGGGCAGGCUUCGUUAGGUUAUGUUAGGUUAGGUUAGGUUUGGUAUGCGGCGCCGACUCUUGAAUGGGGAAGAUUGCGUUAGGUUAAGUUAGGUUAGGUUAGGUUUGGUAUGCGGCGCCGACUCUUGAACGAGGAAGAUUGCGUUAGGUUAAGUUAGGUUAGGUUAGGUUUGGUAUGCGGCGCCCACUCUUGAACGGGGAAGAUUGCGUUAGGUUGAGUUAGGUUAGGUUAGGUUAGGUUAGGUUUGGUAUGCGGCGCCCACUCUUGAACGGGGAAGAUUGCGUUAGGUUGAGUUAGGUUAGGUUAGGUUAGGUUAGGUUAGGUUAGGUUUGGUAUGCGGCGCCCACUCUUGAACGGGGAAGAUUGCGUUAGGUUGAGUUAGGUUAGGUUAGGUUAGGUUUGGUAUGCGGCGCCCACUCUUGAACGGGGAAGAUUGCGUUAGGUUGAGUUAGGUUAGGUUAGGUUAGGUUAGGUUAGGUUUGGUAUGCGGCGCCGACUCUUGAACGAGGAAGAUUGCGUUAGGUUAAGUUAGGUUAGGUUUGGUUUGGUUAGGUUUGGUAUGCGGCGCCGACUCUUGAACGAGGAAGAUUGCGUUAGGUUGUUAGGUUAGGUUAGGUUUGGUUUGAUAUGUGGCGCCCACUCUUGAACGGGGAAAGUUGCGUUAGGUUAGGUUAGGCUAGAAUAGGAUAAGUUAGGUUUGGUUAGGCUAGGUUAGGCUAGGUUAAAGUCAUGUUAGGUAAUUUGAGGGUGAAACACGAUGAGAGUAUUUUCCAGUGCACCCCAAGGUUAGUUUAGGAGCCAUAGCUGAGCGCUUUUACUCAGGGACCACAUAGCCAUAGAGAGAUUAGAAAUGCGUCUCCAGGAUGUUACGCUCACGACUGAGGGCACAAGCAACGUUGCCAAAUUGUCGUAAUCUGAACACUCCAUUUAUCAUUUUUAGGCCCCCCAAUCUGUCGUACAUUCAUAAAUAACGAUAGUCUAUUAAAGUCAUCAUUGAAACUUAAAAUUUGAUGGUUUUCUUUCUUUUUACAACAGUUAUCGGUGAGAAACUACGAAUAUGCAUUACGAUUUGUACGAUAAUUUGGCAACGCUGGGCACAAGGUGUUCUCACGUGACCCAGGUUCGAUGAUAAGACGGAAACGGAGCGAGUGACGUAUUAUCAACAUGACGUAACACAUUCCUAGGUAGUGAUAAACGGCGAUGGAAAGCGGUGCACCAGUAAUUAAUAUAAAAAAAAAUGGCGUUGCGUAUCUUAUCUUAUGCGGCGUCACUGUUAUGUCCCUCAUAGUCCUGUAUCGUGUCCUGGCCACCCCCUUAAUGUCACCUGUUUUUUUUUUUUUUUUUUUUUUACAACAAAGGAGACAGCUCAAGGGCACACAAAAAAAGAAACAAUAAUAAUAAAAAGUCCGCUACUCGCUGCUCCUAAAAAGAAUCCAAAGAGGUGGCCGAAAGAGGGGUCAAUUUCGGGAGGAGAGGUGUCCAGAUACCCUCCUCUUGAAAGAGUUCUAAUCCACCAAAAUGCUCACCUUCCUGGAUAGAUGUAGAUGAGGUAAGCCUUUUUGCCGCGCUUCCUAUAGACUGUUUAUCAUGGGUUCUGUUUUUUUCCGCCCUUUCUGUAGACUGUUUAUCAUGGGUUCAGGUUUUUUCCGCCCUUUCUGUAGACUGUUUAUCAUGGGUUCAUUCUUUUUGCUUCCCAUCCUGUAGACUGUUUACAAUGCGUUCAGUUUACACUCCGGUGUUUAAUAUUUAUUACCCGUUGAGUUUACAGUUCAACGAGCUAUCAAGUUUUAUACCCCAGAAUUAAAUGCCUCUUCACCUUGAUGUCGUACUACUUAAAAGCUGUUUAUUAUGCGUUCAGUUAAAUUCCUCGCUGUUUUAUUUUUAUUAUCCGUUGAUUUCACAUUUCAACGAGUUAUCAAAAUUUAAAACACAAAAUAAAAUGGCUUUUCACUUUGUCGUACUACUUCAAGGUUGUUUAUUAUGCGUUCAGUUGAAAUCCUCGCUGUUUUUUUAUUUAUUACCCGUUGAUUUCACAUUUCAACGAGUUAUCAAAAUUUAUAACACAAAAUAAAAUGGCUUUUCACCUUGUUGUCGUACUCCUUAAAGGUUGUUUGUAAUGUAUCCAGCUUAGAACCCAUGACGUUUAUUGUGGGUCCAUUACACAAUCUAUUUAAUCAGUUCAUAGUUCAGAUACCACUUCAGGAAACAGUAAAUCACAUGCCUCGACACUCCUUCUAAUUUCACCUCCAUUCGAUUGUUUAUCAUCCGAGUUUCAACUGAGCGAGUUUAUGAUCCGCUAACCAACUCAACAUCUCAAAAAAAAAAAAAAAAAAAAAAAAAAGGUUUGGCGCACGUUCUACAGUAGCUUCUCUUAAUGUCCGCAGUCCAUCGAAUUUAUAGUCAAUCCGGUUUAUCAUCCAUCCAUCCACCAAGCAACUCAACAUCUCGGAAGAA
Molecule: long non-coding RNA, 3969 nt
Organism: Eriocheir sinensis (Chinese mitten crab)
Lineage: Eukaryota; Metazoa; Arthropoda; Malacostraca; Decapoda; Varunidae
Exons: 3
Source: RefSeq, a predicted model, not a curated record